RNAcentral lists this non-coding RNA (137 nucleotides) under Pan troglodytes (chimpanzee). The record is from Rfam by way of RNAcentral. Lineage: Eukaryota; Metazoa; Chordata; Mammalia; Primates; Hominidae.
GCUGGGCGUGGUGGCGUGCGCCUGUAGUCCCAGCUACUCAGGAGGCUGAGACAGGAGAAUCACUUGAACCCAGGAGGAGGAGGUUGCAGUGAGCCACUGCAUUCCAGCCUGGGCAACAGAGCGAGACUCUGUCUCAA